ACAUACUUCUCCACAGACCAUA
Molecule: microRNA, 22 nt
Filed under: Eisenia fetida (common brandling worm)
Lineage: Eukaryota; Metazoa; Annelida; Clitellata; Crassiclitellata; Lumbricidae
Description: Efe-Mir-1-P9_5p* (star (passenger))
Source: RNAcentral